CCAUGGCAUUCACAUUCUUCUGCCUGAGGCAAUCACUUCACAAUGGUGGGGCCAAACCUGUGUGUACCCCUGCUUUCCUCACACUUCUAAGGAACGGAAGCAUACCCUGUAGAAGUUAGUCAGAGCAACUGUGUGGUUUGUGUCAGCUUUACACACUUUUGAGGGGGGGAAUUGCAUGUCUAUACUGCACCUGAGGCAUAUUGUGGAAUAACCAGAACAUAACCUGAGGGAGACUCUCAGAAAGUAGAAGACUCAAGGAGCGCCUGCACAUGGCCGUUCCUGUUCUCUGUGAUCAAUGGUGAGAUCUUCUUUGCCCUUCCACUCUGGAAUAAUGAGGCGAAACACAGAACAAUUAGGAAUACAGAAAACCUCCUGCUGAGAGCCUAUUAUCAGAAAUUGUCUGCACCAGAUGAGAAUAAUUGUUUUGCGAUGUUCGCAAAUUGUUGCGCUUGAACGAAAAGUAACAUUCUCAUACACCAGUCCCACAAACCCAAGCAGAUGAAAGAGUCUGUUGAUUUCAAGUCUGAUGCAAGGUUAGGACUCACUACAGGAAUGAUGGGGAAGGAAAUACCAGAAGACUUUUCAAAAAAAAAGAGGGAGAAGAGUUUACAUGCAGUCAAAUUUAAGCAUUAAUCUAUAGUCUCUGUCAUUUAGAUGAUUUCUGUGUUUCAUCACUAUGUAUAAGAUUCUAUUGUUAUAUUUUGUGGCAACCUGUAAUAUAUCCCUCCCUCUGCAGAUGAAAUGCUCUUUUCUCAAAUGGGGAGUAUAUAUUUAAAAUAAAUAUAGUAAACUAAAUCA
Molecule: long non-coding RNA, 798 nt
Filed under: Pogona vitticeps (central bearded dragon)
Lineage: Eukaryota; Metazoa; Chordata; Lepidosauria; Squamata; Agamidae
Description: lncRNA (ENSPVIG00000016045.1)
Source: RNAcentral